GGAUGAACGCUAGCUACAGGCUUAACACAUGCAAGUCGAGGGGCAGCAUUUUAGUUUGCUUGCAAACUGAAGAUGGCGACCGGCGCACGGGUGAGUAACACGUAUCCAACCUGCCGAUAACUCCGGGAUAGCCUUUCGAAAGAAAGAUUAAUACCGGAUAGCAUACGAAUAUCGCAUGAUAUUUUUAUUAAAGAAUUUCGGUUAUCGAUGGGGAUGCGUUCCAUUAGUUUGUUGGCGGGGUAACGGCCCACCAAGACUACGAUGGAUAGGGGUUCUGAGAGGAAGGUCCCCCACAUUGGAACUGAGACACGGUCCAAACUCCUACGGGAGGCAGCAGUGAGGAAUAUUGGUCAAUGGGCGAGAGCCUGAACCAGCCAAGUAGCGUGAAGGAUGAAGGCUCUAUGGGUCGUAAACUUCUUUUAUAUGGGAAUAAAGUUUUCCACGUGUGGAAUUUUGUAUGUACCAUAUGAAUAAGGAUCGGCUAACUCCGUGCCAGCAGCCGCGGUAAUACGGAGGAUCCGAGCGUUAUCCGGAUUUAUUGGGUUUAAAGGGAGCGUAGGUGGAUUGUUAAGUCAGUUGUGAAAGUUUGCGGCUCAACCGUAAAAUUGCAGUUGAAACUGGCAGUCUUGAGUACAGUAGAGGUGGGCGGAAUUCGUGGUGUAGCGGCGAAAUGCUUAGAUAUCACGAAGAACUCCGAUUGCGAAGGCAGCUCACUAGACUGUCACUGACACUGAUGCUCGAAAGUGUGGGUAUCAAACAGGAUUAGAUACCCUGGUAGUCCACACAGUAAACGAUGAAUACUCGCUGUUUGCGAUAUACAGUAAGCGGCCAAGCGAAAGCAUUAAGUAUUCCACCUGGGGAGUACGCCGGCAACGGUGAAACUCAAAGGAAUUGACGGGGGCCCGCACAAGCGGAGGAACAUGUGGUUUAAUUCGAUGAUACGCGAGGAACCUUACCCGGGCUUAAAUUGCAACAGAAUAUAUUGGAAACAGUAUAGCCUUAAGGCUGUUGUGAAGGUGCUGCAUGGUUGUCGUCAGCUCGUGCCGUGAGGUGUCGGCUUAAGUGCCAUAACGAGCGCAACCCUUAUCUUUAGUUACUAACAGGUUAUGCUGAGGACUCUAGAGAGACUGCCGUCGUAAGAUGUGAGGAAGGUGGGGAUGACGUCAAAUCAGCACGGCCCUUACGUCCGGGGCUACACACGUGUUACAAUGGGGGGUACAGAAGGCGGCUACCUGGUGACAGGAUGCUAAUCCCAAAAACCUCUCUCAGUUCGGAUCGAAGUCUGCAACCCGACUUCGUGAAGCUGGAUUCGCUAGUAAUCGCGCAUCAGCCAUGGCGCGGUGAAUACGUUCCCGGGCCUUGUACACACCGCCCGUCAAGCCAUGAAAGCCGGGGGUACCUGAAGUACGUAACCGCAAGGAGCGUCCUAGGGUAAAACUGGUAAUUGGGGCUAAG
Molecule: ribosomal RNA, 1455 nt
Filed under: uncultured organism
Description: SSU rRNA
Rfam family: Bacterial small subunit ribosomal RNA
Source: RNAcentral